RNAcentral lists this transfer RNA (72 nucleotides) under Candidatus Woesearchaeota archaeon. RNAcentral describes it as "tRNA-Tyr". It matches the Rfam family "tRNA". Rfam says of the family: Transfer RNA (tRNA) molecules are approximately 80 nucleotides in length. Their secondary structure includes four short double-helical elements and three loops (D, anti-codon, and T loops). Lineage: Archaea; Nanobdellati; Candidatus Woesearchaeota. The record is from RNAcentral.
CCCCUCUUAGCACAAUGGUGGUGCGUUCGGCUGUAGACCGAAAGGUUCCCGGUUCGAGUCCGGGAGAGGGGA